GCCGCGACGGGAACUCCGUUGUAGCAUAUUUUAUACCAAUAGUUUGUACCUCUAAAUUCCCUACCGCAUAAGCCCCUCCCCCCUUCUCUUUCCCCACUGGUAACCACUUGUUCUUUAUAUCUGUGAGUUUGCUUCUUUUUUUUAUUAUUAUAUUCACUACUUUGUUGUAUUUUUUAGAUCCCACAUGCAAGUGAUAGCAUACAGUAUUUGUCUUUCUCUGUCUGAUGUAUUUCACUUAGCAUAAUGCCCUCCAAGUCCAUCUAUGUUGCUGCAAAUAGCAAGUUUUCAUUACUUUUAUGACUGAGUAGUAUUCCAUUGUGUAUACAUACCACAUCUUCUUUAUCUAUUCAUCUGUUGAUGGACACUUAGGUUGCUUCCAUAUCUUGUUGAUUGUAAAUAAUGUUGCUGUGAACAUUGGGAUGCAUGUAUCUUUUCAAAUGAGUGUUUUUGUUUUUGUUUUGGCUAUAUGCCCAGAGUAGGAUUGCUAGAUUGUAUCACAGCGCUAUUUUUAGGGUGUUUUUUUGUUGUUGUUUCUUUUUGGGUUUUGUCUUUUUGCCUUUUCUAGGGCUGCUUCCCGCAGCAUAUGGAGGUUCCCAGGCUAGGGGUCUAAUUGGAGCCAUAGCCGCCGGCCUACGCCACAGCCACAGCAACAGAGAAUCUGAACCAUGUCUUCGGCCUACACCACAGCUCGUGGCAACGCCAGAUCCUUAACCCACUGAGCAAGGCCAGGGAUCGAACCCGCAACCUCAUGGUUCCUAGUCGGAUUCCUUAACCACUGAGCCACGAUGGGAACUCUUAUUUUUAGUUUUUUGACAAAACUCCAUUCUGUUUGCCACAGUGAUUGCACCAAUGUACAUUCCCACCAGCAGUGUACAGAUCUGAACAUUGUUUUUUUUUGUUGUUGUUGUUCCUAGAGGAAGGGACAGAAGGUCCACUGGAUGCAGAGAGUCUGAGAGAAGAUCUUCCCAGUAGUGAACCUGCCCUCAUCUCCGGGGAACUGCAAGGAAGGUUCCUCAGUGCCAAAGAAAGAAAGAGAAUCUGUGAUCUCAAGCUAUCACCACUCCACCUGGAUACCCAUCCCUGGGUAGGACUGAUAUCACAACAAUCUCUAUCUGCAAGAAGUGCAUUAACCCCAAGGCAGCCUGAACACAGCUGAGGAUGGAUCAUCACUGCCCCUGGCUAAGAAACUGUGUGGGCCACUAUAACCAUCCGUACUUCUUCUCUUUCUGCUUUUUGAUGACUCUAUAGGCUGUGUCUAUUGCAGCUACGGAAGUUGGGACUUUUUCCAGGGAGCUUAUGCUACCAUCAAGACUUAUCACCAGAUCCCACCACCCAGUUUCUCCUUUCGAGAAAAAGUGACUCACAGAGUCUUGUCUACCUCUGGUUCCUGUGCAGUUCCGUGGCACUUGCCCU
This 1413-nucleotide long non-coding RNA is filed under the name Sus scrofa (pig). RNAcentral describes it as "lncRNA (ENSSSCG00040014772.1)". The record is from RNAcentral. Lineage: Eukaryota; Metazoa; Chordata; Mammalia; Artiodactyla; Suidae.